UAGGCACUUGUACGUGUGUGUUAUAUAAAACAAAGACCCGUGGUUAGAGAGAUGAAAAUAAUACCCCAGUGAACUCUGACGGGAAAAAGGAAAGUCGGAGCACCGGAUUUCCGAGCAGGGAGCUGAAACCGAGAGCAGAGAUGAGGAAGAGCAUGUUGCUGCUAACAGCCACCUGAACCAUUGCCCUCUCCCGACUUCUUUAGGAUCCUUCAACUUCCACACAGGUGAGCCUAGUAAUCCCAAACUUGCAGGUUCAUUCCUCUCUAAGGUUCAAGACAAGAAAGAUUUGAUUCAGGAAACACAUGACUGGCCUAUGUCUACCACUGAAACUUGGAGCUCUUGUGAAAGCAUGCUGGCUGCUUGGUCAGUCACCAUGCUGAUCUCCAGGCCUGCUUCAGUGCACCAGGCUGCCAAGGACCCCUCCAGCCAUGAAAUCCUGUGUCUAACCCCCAGGACGAUGGUCAGGACCUACUUAUCUGUGGACAGAUAUCCAGGUGGGCCCACUCACCUCUUGGACUUCUCAGUAUUGACUUCUGGAAUCCUUCUACUGUGCUAUACAUUCAACAGGACAUCAAGACCUUGUUGAUAUUGGACCUUUGUUUAUUUUGAAAAAAACUAAUUCAAAUCCACUCACAUCAUAUUGAUAUGACUGAUACUUGAACCAUGUCUGGAUAUGCUCAUUUCCUUGGAUAUUCUGCUUCAGUGGCCUGCUUAAACUUCUGUGAUUGGCAAAGACCUGCCCACCAGUCCCAUUCUCUGCCUGAAUGAUUCUGUCUUUAUGGGAAUAAAUCACCACUCUCCACUGAUAAAUCCCAAAAUGUGAUCAUGAUCAAUAAUAGGGGCAGUAUUUCCAUUCCAUUUCAGCAUCAAGGGCAUCAAAGGCAAAGGCAGCCUUGUUCAGUGGUUAAGUUUAACGACAUUGGAGUUCAAAUCCUAUUUCCUCCACUUUUUGGCUAAAUGACCUCUAGUUUUCUGUGUUUCAUCUGUAAAACUGGGGUAUUCAUAGUGCUCAUCUCAUACAAUAUUGUGAGGAUUAAGGUAAAUAAUAAAUAUGACUACUUAGAGAAAUGCCAAACAUGUUAUGAUUGCUCCAUAAAUGGUUAGCUAUUACUAUUAUUGCUGGGGGAUAGGAAAUGGGAGCCAGGCGAAUGGUUGAAGAAACUGAAGCAAGAAAAGUGUAGAGAAAAGGAAGAAUUAAAAGAAUGUGAGAAAGAACAUAUAGAAGACAAUGGGCAUGGAGCAAAAGUGGUGGAUUCUUCCGUCUUCCACCCUAGAGGGUGGGUGGCUAGACCCUUGCAGAAGUAGUCAGAAUCAUAGUCACAAGUAAGGGUGAGAAAGCGGAAUUUGGAGCAUAUGACUGUGAGUCUUGGUUCUUUGAGAAAACUUUUCCAACGUGGACGAGUCAUGAGUUUGCAUACUCAGACUUCUCUUAUUUCAGUGAUUUCAGAGGAAUUCUAUUGGACAUGUCAUUUGGCCAUUUAAUCGACUCAGCCACCCAGGUGCCCCAACU
This is a long non-coding RNA of Callorhinus ursinus (northern fur seal), 1510 nucleotides long. RefSeq lists it as uncharacterized. Lineage: Eukaryota; Metazoa; Chordata; Mammalia; Carnivora; Otariidae. The record is from RefSeq and is a predicted model, not a curated record.